GACGAACGCUGGCGGCGUGCCUAAUACAUGCAAGUCGAGCGAGCGGAACUAACAGAUUUACUUCGGUAAUGACGUUAGGAAAGCGAGCGGCGGAUGGGUGAGUAACACGUGGGGAACCUGCCCCAUAGUCUGGGAUACCACUUGGAAACAGGUGCUAAUACCGGAUAAGAAAGCAGAUCGCAUGAUCAGCUUUUAAAAGGCGGCGUAAGCUGUCGCUAUGGGAUGGCCCCGCGGUGCAUUAGCUAGUUGGUAAGGUAAAGGCUUACCAAGGCGAUGAUGCAUAGCCGAGUUGAGAGACUGAUCGGCCACAUUGGGACUGAGACACGGCCCAAACUCCUACGGGAGGCAGCAGCAGGGAAUCUUCCACAAUGGACGCAAGUCUGAUGGAGCAACGCCGCGUGAGUGAAGAAGGUUUUCGGAUCGUAAAGCUCUGUUGUUGGUGAAGAAGGAUAGAGGUAGUAACUGGCCUUUAUUUGACGGUAAUCAACCAGAAAGUCACGGCUAACUACGUG
Molecule: ribosomal RNA, 512 nt
Filed under: uncultured bacterium
Lineage: Bacteria
Description: partial 16S ribosomal RNA
Rfam family: Bacterial small subunit ribosomal RNA
Source: RNAcentral